This is a non-coding RNA of Xyrichtys novacula (pearly razorfish), 5189 nucleotides long. NCBI's taxonomy places the organism in Eukaryota, Metazoa, Chordata, Actinopteri, Labriformes, Labridae. The record is from the annotation of a GenBank genome assembly.
GACAAGAAGUGACAGCUGAUGUCGUUCUUUGACAAAGCAAAGUAUGUGCAAAUAAGAUGGUACUAUAGGGAAUUAUUGAAUGUUUAAAUCUUGUCAGUUGAAGUUCACUCUGUUAUGCUUAGCGGUAGUGCUUUCAGCCAAAUGAUAGCAAGCUAACAUACUCACAGUGGCAGAGCUAGAAAAUUAAGAUUCAGCUGGUCUGAUGUCCACCUCAUACAUUUACUUAUUAUCGUGCUAACAUUAGCUAUUUAGAGGUGCAAUUGAUUACAUCUGUACAGUAUAUUGUGGGUGAUCUCAAGGUGACUUAUAACGAAUUCAUUGCCCACAGUAACAAUACUGUUAAAAAAGUAAUGUGUGGGAUAAAUGUCAUUAGUGCCAGUGCAAGGAAUCAUGACGUAGUGAUAAGGUGAGUCGCAAUUGAAGGGAAAAAUGUUGAGAGCCAUACACAAAUUUGAUUGGUUGAUUAAUGAGCAUUUUCCCUAAAUGAAUAAAAGGAAUUGAUGACAUUUUGAAAUAUGAAAUAAAAAUGACUGAAUUCAGCUUUACAAAAACUGUAUUGCAUCAGUCAGAUGGAAAACACAUUACUGUACGGAUAUUUUGUCCCACCCCUUUUAGCUCAAAUAUUUUACAGUAAACAAAGUAUCAGUUUUCACCAUAUGACUGAGGUUGAUUUGCAAUCAACCAAGUCAUAGCUCAUGAUUCUCAUGAGGGUCUGUACCAAACAACUGCCAUACCACUUGUAGUUAUUUGGAAAUGUUCCUAAAACUCGUAACAAGUUAAAGCUGAGGGAAAGGUCAAGAGAUCAUCAAAGCCUCUGAAAAGCAACUCCUCAAAUCAUUCAUACUGAUCAGUCGGUUAGUUCAAAUAUCAGACCGGACUCUGGAGCAAAGUUUAGGACCACAUUACUGACAUUAUCGCCUAUACAGCUGUGCUGCAAACAAGGCUUUUUAGGACAGGCCUUCAAAUGUGGUUCCUCUGCUUUGACCAUUUCAAAUCCAAGGCAUCUCAGAUGACUCCAUACCCAGCUGAAAAAGAAAUUAAUAGCUGCAGGUACAACUGAGGAUCAGCUUUUAGAUAAAAUAAAGACAGUUCACUCCUUUAGGAUCCAAGUUUAAAAAAAAAAAAAUGUUUUAUUGUUCCUGGAGAAAACCAUGUGUGUGAAAGUGCUGUUUUGAGCCCUUUCAGUUUUCUAUCUCCAUCAGUUCCUCGGGGUUUGAUUGGGCAUGCCUGGUGUGACUGGGUUGGGUUAGAGGCCAGAGUAAGUUGUCAGAGGUCAGAGGUUAUGCUACUGUGAGUGUUUUGGCUGGAGGUGAGAGACAUUCCUUGUGUGGUUUUGGUUUUGUGUGGAGGAAGAGAGUGUUUAAUUUUAGUUUACUAAAUGUAGACUGUAGACAGAAAAGGGCUAGACCGUUGUUGGACUACUUUGAAUUAUUUUUUGUUUUUGGUAUGUCACACACACCCAUCAUUUUGAUAGCAGUUUAAAUUUAAGUGUGUGGGUAUUUGCCACAAUGGUCAGACUAUAGUCUCCCUUCACCUUUUCUCCUGCUCUGACAAUGUUUUUCCACUUCUCUGCUGCUCUCUGUACCUGAGACAGAACCGACAACCGAGCCCAGCAGGGGAGGGGAAGGUCUCCGGUGUUUGACUGACAGACCAGUGAUGAGCACACAGAGAGGGGGUGGAGGUCAGAGGUCAGAGGUUGAGCUCUUAUAGGGGGGCUGUGAAGUCAAGAAGGGGGGAACAGAGGGAAAAGGGGGAACUUGCUAAUGAGGUAGGGCUGUCAUUGGUGUUGUACUUAAAGAAGCGAGAUAAAAAAACUCUAUAUAAUGAAAGAAGCAAAUAGUUGAUAGGUACACAAAAAAGGGAGGAACACUAUGGAAAGUCAGACUACACAAAUACAUAAAUUCUGGGAAGAUGCUCAUGAAACAAAAGCUAUGCAGUGAGCUUUUUUUGUUAGUAAUAGCCAGAGUUAGAUCAUUUAUUUCUACUGACAAAUUAAGUUUAUUGUAGAUACACAAAGCAUAAACAUCAUACACAGCUAGUAAAAAAAAGGUAUGUUUGACACCAAAUAUGAACAUUUCUGGUUGAAAAAAUUCAGCCAUCUGCAUUUUUUUUUCGUUCUAUCCCUAAAAGUUAGUAAAUGUUUUGACUACAUUACUCUCAUACAAACAUUUUGGUUAAACCAAUAUAUUUUUACUUGGAUUUUACAGGAUGAUCAUGACUUAUUGACAAACAAAACUUUAAUAAUCAGCAAAACUUAGGGAUGACACAGCUGUUUAUAUGUAAUGCAUAUGUAAUGCACAAACAUGGAGGUAAAACCUUAACAGCCAUUUGGACAGUUCAGUAAGAUCAAAAGCUUGUGUAUUUUUAAAGUAAAUAGGCCCAGCAUUAUUGAAGUGUUUAUUUUACAUUGCUUCCUUGAAAGUUUUACAUGAGAACGAGAGUUUAUUUUAUCACACAGAGAGAGAGAGAAAGAUUGUCCUGCAAGGUGCUGUCCAUCUCUGUGAAUUGUGUGUAGAUAUAUUCAAAUACCAGUUAAUGGUGGAUGUAGAACUGUAAGUAUAUUAUAACAGGAAACAAGUCAUAAGAAGGAGCAAAAAUGGAAUAACUAUGAUGUCCAGGAAUAAGUUCAGUAUGCAUAAUUCAUUCAACAAACAACACAGACAAGUUUGUUCUUCACACUUAUGGUUCAGAUUUUUAUCUGAAGCCUACCACCUGGUGGAUUUUCUAGCCAAACUUUUGAAAUAAAAAGGUGUCAUCAUCAAAAUCAAUAUAUUUGUAAGAGAAUGAGAAAAAGAGCAUUUUAUAUCGUAAUUAUGACUCUUAAAUUUCAAAUCCAUAGCAGAACUUGCCAAAAAUACACUUUAUUUAACAUUUGUACACUUAAUAACCCAGUAUGAGUCUUUCAAACUAAAUGUAGCUGCAGCGGUACACUAGACAAAUUCAUUGAAAGCUUUGACCUUUUAAAUGAUAAUGAUUAAAAUAUUUCAUACCUUUAACUGGUGAAUCCAGGUAUUUUAUAUGCACUGCUGAGGUGCUCAAACUUUCUUAAAGCAAUUAAGAGACUGCGAUUGAGAUUGUUCAUUUGAUCAAAUAAACAUACAGUGCAAUUUUAGACAAGAAAUUCCAUUUUUUUAGGGGGAGAGAUAAAAAAGGAGUAGGUUGAAGCUAUUUAGCUUAUAUGUACCUACUUCUAAUUCCCUCCUAUUUGUUUACCCUUUACAUGUCUCCAGAGUUUAGAAUUUCUGAUGUUGUCAAAAAGUAAACAAAGCUCCAGUCCAACAUGAAUAUGUAACCAAUCAUUAAUACUGAAACAAAGACUUAUACAAAUACAUAUAUACACCCAUACCUAUAUACAUGUAUAUACACACAAAUAUGCACAUUAUGUAUUCCUAGAAUACUCCAAAUCUCUCAUUUGUACCAUACCCAUAUACAAUAUAGGUGUGGCCAAACGAAAAUCACUUUUGAAAGUAUUUUUUAAUCAUACUCUGCUCUGAUGUACUUUUAAACUGUGCUAUUGUUUUGCUUUGUCUAAGUCCAUUGGGCAAGCUCUUCCACAGCUUCACCCUCACAACAGAAAGACACGUGCUUUUUAGUGUGGUACGAACGCCUGGUUAUUUUAAAUUUGGUGCCCCUCUUAAUAAGAUAAGAUAAGAACUUUAAUAAUCUUCGAAGGGAAAUUCAUUUAUAUAUAUAUAUAUAUAUAUACAUCCAUACCUAUAUACACACAAAUAUGCACUUUAUAUAUAUACCUAGAAUACUUAAAAUCCCCUCUCUUCCACCAAACAUUUUCUAUUUAUUACUAGGGAGUAGAUUGUUACUAGCUUUGUACAUUGUCUGUGCAGUUCUAAUUUCAAUUAGAUUGGCAAAUUUUAAUACUUUAAUACUAUAGUCCAGUAACCUUUGAAACCUAGGAGUUGCAGUGCUGAAUGUUAACAACUAGAUGUCACCCUUUAUCUACAUUUAGUCAACAACUACACUUCACUCUAAUGUCGUCCCUCUCUGUCUCUCUGCACUGAUGCACGCGCAUAAAGGCACACACACAUACACACACAAAGGAAAUUAUUCCAGUAAAUAUUUACCGUAUAUUUCACCAAAUCAAAACAACCUCUGAUUUUCAAGUGUCCACCACUCUUCUUCUCUCUUUAGGCUGAGCUGGAAUGAUUGAUCAGCACCCAUGGCUCAGGACGCACCGACAGGGGGCGCUGGUUCUGUGGGAUCCCGCAUGUCUGUCUGUCUCAGCGUGAGUCUGGUGUUCUACUACACACAGAGCAGAGGAUUAUGUAAUGUUUACUAUUAUGGCGCUAUAUCCUUCACGAGGUAAAGUCAUUUUUCUCAUGAACGUUGGCUUUUGUUCACAUGAAAUAUGCUUUACAGGAUAGAAAUGACAUGUGCGGGACGUCCUACUCACGCACGUGUCUUAAUCGAGAACAUGCACAUUGUUCAGUUCGUACAUACCGGUUUGUCUUCACUACUGCCUGCAAGUUACAAAUUUGGGGUUAGUCGAGUUUACGCCAGACCACGCCCCCUCGCUCCAGCUGGUGGCAACACUCUUGAUGACAUCACCGCAGCGGCCACCCAUUGGCCGAGAGACGUCGUGCACCUGCCCAAUCGCCUGCCGGUGAGGUGACGUCAGUCGAGCCAGCCCCGUUCACUUUCAGUGGAGUGGGCGGGGCGGAGAGAUUGUCGACGUCAGGGCCAGCGGGAUGCUGCGCGGUGAUUGGUCGGCAGCGGUGAAAGUGAGCGUCUGUUGCUGAGAGAAAAGCGAGGGGGAGUGAGGGAAAGCAGUAUGUGAGGGGCACUGACGAGUAUUCUGCACCAUAUAACAGUUGUCCAGUCUUUAGACAAUCUUUAUAUACGUGCAUGCAUGGCUGUUGGUCCCUUGUUAAUGCUUUUACUCAAAUAUCGUAUUAAUGACUUGAUAACAACUCUUAAAACUGUUUUAAAAGUGAGCUUUGAAGUGGAAAACCCGCAUUAUGGUGCUUCACUGCUGCUGCACCAACUUCUCUCCGGACGAACAUAGGGGUUGAUGCAUUACCUCCGUCUGCUCGGAGACGGCACUUCUGCUGUCAAUUAUGGUAAACAUACUCCUUUUCAGAAGGGGAGGGGACAUUUGUGUCUUUUUAUUGGAUAUCAGUUAUUUGCUCCCGCCUCUUGACCCGCCCUCAUGCUGUUCCUAUGGUUCCCAAAGC